This 464-nucleotide long non-coding RNA is filed under the name Capra hircus (goat). Its description in RNAcentral is "lncRNA (ENSCHIG00000002118.1)". The record is from RNAcentral. Lineage: Eukaryota; Metazoa; Chordata; Mammalia; Artiodactyla; Bovidae.
GCACAUCUUGGGACACACCAGCUGUCCAAGUUCAGCAUAAUGAGCCAAAUGUCCUCCCAGCAGCCCUCCUCGGGGAAAGCUGUCAGCCCCAGAACUUUAGAACUCCAAAUUCCUCCUGGAAACUUCCUUCCCAGCGGUCAGGACAAGCAGAGAAAUUUCGGAGCCAUCUGCCCACUCCACUCCUAGUUGACAUCCACAAAGCCAGACUUGAGUGGUAAUGAUAUCUCACCACCGCAUUUUUUACUCAGGAAAGGCCACCGUUCAUUCCGCCGGGAGCGUGUGCCUUUGCACCAUCACGACCUCUGUCUCUCCCCUUGGCCAGAGCCCACCCUGGGGGCAGAAACCCGCUCUGAAAAGCCUGGAAGUCCGGCACAUGAUGGGCAGACCUCUGAGCUCCUGGAAUCAAGAUAUUUGGAAAACCAUCAAAAGCAGCGGUCAGAGACACCCCACCCUGUGGAGUGAAC